UCAGGCCUAACACAUGCAAGUCGAGCGGGGUUUUCGGACAUAGCGGCGGACGGGUGAGUAAUGCGUAGGAAGCUACCCGAUAGAGGGGGAUACCAGUUGGAAACGACUGUUAAUACCGCAUAAUGUCUACGGACCAAAGUGUGGGACCUUCGGGCCACAUGCUAUCGGAUGUGCCUACGUGGGAUUAGCUAGUUGGUGAGGUAAUGGCUCACCAAGGCGACGAUCCCUAGCUGGUUUGAGAGGAUGAUCAGCCACACUGG
This 260-nucleotide ribosomal RNA is filed under the name uncultured bacterium. RNAcentral describes it as "partial 16S ribosomal RNA". It matches the Rfam family "Bacterial small subunit ribosomal RNA", at positions 43 to 316 of the family's 1533-position model. The record is from RNAcentral.